Long non-coding RNA from Pleuronectes platessa (European plaice), 2883 nucleotides. RefSeq lists it as uncharacterized. The transcript has 4 exons. The record is from RefSeq and is a predicted model, not a curated record. Lineage: Eukaryota; Metazoa; Chordata; Actinopteri; Pleuronectiformes; Pleuronectidae.
AAAUAUACCUCUUCCUUUCAGUUUUUACUGAAUGGUGCAGCUGAAACAGUCACUUCACUUUGUUUGUCAAAACCUAAAACGGAGGAACCACAAGGUUUCUUCCAAACUAAAAGGUUAUUUUUUCUUACCAUCUGUUUGGACGUUGAGCAGAGGCGCGGUUUAGAGCCCGUGGUGACGCUGCUAUCUGAGGGACUGUCAUCCUGAAGGAAAUGGAGGACAGUAAUACAAGUAUUUAUAGAACAAACCAACAGAAAUUCAGUGUCAGUAUUAGAGAGCUUGGUGUGAGAUGAAAACAACUUGGACACACAGGAUAAAUGGUUGCUGCUGGCUGUUGAAGUGUCGGGCAGUGUGACAACUAUUGUUCAGAGCCGGUCCCGUCCACAAGGUUACAGUCUGUUGUGUUAUUUAUGCCCUGAGUGCUUUCCAGUGCGGACACAGUGCAGCAAGUGGCCUGGACACCAAACACACAUCAAGUCUCAUGAGUUAAGCCCGUCUGGAGAAUUUCAGGAUAUUAACCAGACUUCAGUGAAUGUCUGAAAGCAGCUCUACUGACGACUAUAUCAAAGUAAAGCAACCCAGCAGAGUCUUGCAGUGGUUUGCUGACCUGCUGAUGGCCGCCCAGGUCUUCUUGAGGCGAUACACAGCGUUGGACUGCAGCGCUGACAGGAUCGCCCUCAAGGAGGAGAAAUUCUUCAACUCUCUACACUCCUACACAGACAGAUAAAAAGGUUUUGUUAUGCUUUUAAAAAAAAAACUACAGUCAUUUAUGUCAGUAACUUAAAAUUACUCUCCACCCUGACCUGUGCAACAGUGAUCCACCUCUCAAUGAUGGUUGCUCUGUGGGCAGGGCUGGCGCGCGUGCAGCGAGGUGAGCUCGGGGCCGUGGAGGGGUACAGGAAGGGAGAGGACGAGAUGGGCGAUGAGAUGGGAGAGGAAGUGGGAGGGCUGGGUGAGGACGGACAGAGGAGUGAGGUGAUGACACGGUUGGUGAUGGCGUUGAACUGGAAGAUGGUGGCGCGGACGGUGGGCGCCAAGUUUCUGCUUUCUUUCUUGUCACGCUGGGACCAGACGCAGCCCAGGCAGUGGAAGGGCACCACUCUGACAAACAGAUCCUGAGGGAGAGACCAGGACAAGGACACACAGUGCGGGUUAGUGACCAGCUGUGACGCGGAAAACACCUUUCAGAUGUUUGUAAAUGAAACCUACAGCGUCCAGUCUGGUCAGCUGCUCCGAUACUUCUGUAACAGGGAAGUCCAUAAAGCUGUGUUUGUCCUCCUCCUUAGCGGACAUGUCACCUCCGUCCUCCUCGUCCCCCGGAUCCUGCUGCAAUGAUUUACCACCGUGAUGUGACGCAGACCGGUUGCAAUCUGUCACACACAUAGAAUCAUAAAUGAUAAUCAAACAUGCUGCUCAUGGAAACCUCACAAAACAUUGACAAACAGGUAAUGAUGCAUCACUUAUGUGGGAGAGAAAAUUGGUGCCAGUAUAUUUUUAAGUUUCAUUUCACUGGAUCAUUUUAGCAUAUUGCGCCAUGUAAAGCACAUUUCUUUAUUAAUAUACACUAGUGCAGUGCCUGUUCUAAAUCUGUUUAUUAAAUCUCUGGAGCCACUUCAGAAUUAUUCCUUGUCAUUAGUUAGUCCUCCUCAAACAGAUUUACAAUAUUCGGUCACUUUUUUUUUUAUUUGUGUGCAGAGCUGUUUAUAGUCGAUGAUGCAGAGUGAAGUCAGAGGGGGUUCAUUCUAUCUUGUUUAUCGGCGGUGAAGAUUUUAUGUUCAAUGUUUUUUAAUCAAAUGCUUCAAUCUUCAGACCCAAUUUCACAACUUUUCAAAUGAAAAGCUCUGUAGUCAAGCAUGCUAACAUUAGAAAGAUGGCUCAGACACCUCGCAAAUCCUCUCAGACUUAUUUUUCAGUUACAGUAAUGUUUUUUUUUUUUUUUUUACAUUGUACAGCGUCUAUUUCUCAGUAAAUAAAAAAAAAAAUCGAAGCAAAAAAAGAUCAAACAAACAACUUUUAGGAACAUAUGCGACCAUCUACGGAGUUUGGUCCUCCAUCUUUUAUUUUUGAGCUUUGGGCUCUUUAGACGUGAGCAUAAAUGCGAUCUGAUUGGCUAGUGCCUGUGCUAUCGUAUUUGCAUGAAAGGUGCUGUGAACCGGUGCCCAGCUUGAGAGAGCUCCUGUGUGUAGCUGAAUGUAAAUGGCUAAGUGGUAAAUGGUUUUGUAUUUAUAUAGUGCUUUUCUAGUCUUGAUGACCACUCAAAGCGCUUUACAGUACAGUUCUACAUUCACCCAUUCACACACACAUUCAUACAGUGCAUCUAUUUGCAGCACUUAGUUAUUCUAUGGGGGGCCAUUCGGGGUUCAGCAUCUUGCCCAAGGACACUUCGGCAUGCAGAUGGGUCAGACUGGGGAUCGAACUACCCCUCAGCCACAGCCGCCCACUGUGCAUUGCUGACUGAAAGAUAACGUCUUCUGCCUCAAUUUAUCCGUUCGCUACAAUAUGAUGGAUUCAUGUCAAUGUGUAUCUAAAGACAAUAUAUACAAUUUUGGUUCUGAAGACAUGAAUUUUGUGGAGAAAAAAAAUUUGAAAAAAAAAAAUAUAUAUAUAUAAAAAAUGUUCUUAUCAUCCCAAAAUCUCGUGACCCCCCUGUUGAAGACCACCGAUUUAAUGUAUUGAGCUUCUAAAUCGUUCCAAACUCAGCACUGGACUUUCUUGGACAAUUUACAAUAUCCUUGCAAAGUGUGAAGCUGAUUAGAUGAAUGCUUUUCAAGAUAUGCAUUCCACACACAGACAGAGACUUCUGUGAAAUGUUUGUGCAUAUACAGUUUAUGUAUAAUCAUGAUUUAAAUCUGCUAAUUUAAAUAUAUCAACGUGUAAAUAAAGUGA